This is a long non-coding RNA of Neogale vison (American mink), 729 nucleotides long. RefSeq lists it as uncharacterized. Lineage: Eukaryota; Metazoa; Chordata; Mammalia; Carnivora; Mustelidae. The transcript is spliced from 3 exons. The record is from RefSeq and is a predicted model, not a curated record.
UUCAUCUGGAAUCCUGUGCACUACUUCCCAAACCCCUGGGACUCCGAAGUGUGAGGAUUUAAAUCAAGACACGUGGAAGCCAUGCAAUAUAAUCACCAGGAUUGUCUUUGGUUGCCUCCUGCCCCAUCCUCCCCAGCACAUACGCAGAAGGACACACACAAGUACAGUACUGUUCUACCGUAUCCUUAAUUUUACAGAUCUCCUGCUGAAGUUUCUGACUAAUGCAGGGAGGCUCUCUGCAGUCCCGGGGUCCAGAGAACAAUUACGGUACAGUCUUGGAGAACAGAAAGAAAACGGGGGUCAUAAAUAUGUUAAAUGGCACACAUAUCUCUACGGGAAGUUAAAGUCUGUCUGAAUGUCUCAGAUGACCCAUUUUUGAACCCACGAAUGACUUCCUGUGCUUGCCACAUGAGGCAAGCCAGUGCUGGUGCUCUGAAAGUGUCCUUGAACUUGGACGGUGCUCACACCAUAAAGGCAAGAGACCAAGGAACAAACAGAGGCCACAACAGAGAUACCAGUGGACAAAGGGGCAGGGGACAGAGGAGGGGAGAGAGACAGAGACAGUGGGAAGGAGAGAGGGAGAGGGAGGGAGAGAUGGAGAGACUCAUGGCGGGGGGGAAUGGGAGAAGUAGACAGUCACAAAUAAGGCCAUAGAGAGACACCAGGAGAGGAAGAGAAGAAAGAACAAAGUAAAAACAAAAGAACAAAACAAAACUAAACAUCCAGAAA